This 480-nucleotide unclassified non-coding RNA is filed under the name Hevea brasiliensis (rubber tree). Lineage: Eukaryota; Viridiplantae; Streptophyta; Magnoliopsida; Malpighiales; Euphorbiaceae. The record is from RNAcentral.
CAUAAUAUUACCUUAUCAGAGGAAGACACUUUAUUUGGUGGCCAAGUGUCAAAUCUUCAGGUAAUCUUAUUCUUAAUUUUAUUUUCACACUCAAGAUUCUUUUAAUAUUAUUCAUAGACAAAAACCUUGUAAAGAAAAUAAAUAAAAUAUUAGAAUUUAUAUAGAGAAAAAAAAGGGAAAUGCAUUUGCUUUUAGUCUGUAGUUUAUACUUACUUUUUUGAUGAAUAAUGUAUGAUCUCAGGCUUGUGAGAAUGUAUCUCUUCUCAAUAUAAGUUAUCAAUCUGAUUUCACCCCUUUCUUUGAGUUCAUUUUUUCUAAUCUCACCCACAGUUCAAUCUAGAACUUAGUUGCCUUUAUGUUUCUAAUGAGGAUUGUGACGUUUUAGCCACUCACUGUGUACUUCUUUAGCUUUCAGCUAAAGUCAUGCUAGCGCAUUUUCUUUAUUUUCACUUCUUUCCUUUUCUUUCUUGUUCCUUUUUU